Non-coding RNA from Oryzias latipes (Japanese medaka), 92 nucleotides. RefSeq annotates it as microRNA mir-338-1. Lineage: Eukaryota; Metazoa; Chordata; Actinopteri; Beloniformes; Adrianichthyidae. The record is from RefSeq and is marked provisional.
ACUGGCUGGUCCCAGAAACAACAUCCUGGUGCUGCCUGAGUGUGUAAUGCAAACUCCAGCAUCAGUGAUUUUGUUGCUGGGGGCGUGCCCCU